RNAcentral lists this ribosomal RNA (777 nucleotides) under uncultured Acidobacteriota bacterium. RNAcentral describes it as "bacterial SSU rRNA". It matches the Rfam family "Bacterial small subunit ribosomal RNA", at positions 68 to 826 of the family's 1533-position model. The record is from RNAcentral. Lineage: Bacteria; Pseudomonadati; Acidobacteriota.
GGGUUGCCCCGCAAGGGGCAACUGAGUGGCAAACGGGUGAGUAACACGUGGGUGACCUGCCUUCGAGUGGGGGAUAACGUUUCGAAAGGAACGCUAAUACCGCAUGACAUCCUGCCUUUGGACAGGCGGAGAUCAAAGCUGGGGAUCGCAAGACCUGGCGCUUGAAGAGGGGCCCGCGUCCGAUUAGCUAGUUGGUGGGGUAACGGCUCACCAAGGCGACGAUCGGUAUCCGGCCUGAGAGGGCGGACGGACACACUGGGACUGAGACACGGCCCAGACUCCUACGGGAGGCAGCAGUGGGGAAUUGUUCGCAAUGGGCGCAAGCCUGACGACGCAACGCCGCGUGGAGGAUGAAGGUCUUCGGAUUGUAAACUCCUGUUGAUCGGGACGAACAACCAUCGGGAUAACACCCCGGAGGUCUGACGGUACCGAUUGAGGAAGCCCCGGCUAACUCUGUGCCAGCAGCCGCGGUAAUACAGAGGGGGCAAGCGUUGUUCGGAAUUACUGGGCGUAAAGGGCGCGUAGGCGGCCGCCUAAGUCAGACGUGAAAUCCCUCGGCUCAACCGGGGAACUGCGUCUGAUACUGGGUGGCUUGAAUCCGGGAGAGGGAUGCGGAAUUCCAGGUGUAGCGGUGAAAUGCGUAGAUAUCUGGAGGAACACCGGUGGCGAAGGCGGCAUCCUGGACCGGCAUUGACGCUGAGGCGCGAAAGCCAGGGGAGCAAACGGGAUUAGAUACCCCGGUAGUCCUGGCCCUAAACGAUGAGUGCUUGGUGUGGC